AGCGACUAAGCGUAAAUGUUGGUGAAGUACUGCCCUGGCAGUCAGACUGCGAUGAAGGACGUGCUAAUCUGCGUGGUGGAUGCCUUGGCAGUCAGAGUCAGAAAGUAAGGUGAUAUGAACCGUUAUAGCUCCGGCGAGGCGGCAAAUAUCCUUUGAUCCGGAGAUGUCUGAAUUCGUUGCACUACUUUAAGGUUAACUGAAUACAUAGGUUAACGAGGCGAACGAGGGGAACUGAAACAUCUAAGUACCCCCCGAGAAAAAUCAAUUGAGAUUCCCUCAGUAGCGGCGAGCGAACGGGGAGCAGCCCAGAUCUGAAUCAUGCUUGUGUGUUAGUGGAACGCUCUGGAAAGUCCGACGUAGAGGGUGAUAGUCCCGUACACGAAAGGGCACACAGGCUGUGAACUCGAAGAGUAGGGCGGGACACGUGGUAUCCUGUCUGAAUAUGGGGGGACCAUCCUCCAAGGCUAAAUACUACUGACUGACCGAUAGUGAACCAGUACCGUGAGGGAAAGGCGAAAAGAACCCCUGUGAGGGGAGUGAAAUAGAUCCUGAAACCGCAUGCAUACAAGCAGUGGGAGCACCUUCGUGGUGUGACUGCGUACCUUUUGUAUAAUGGGUCAGCGACUUAUAUUCAGUAGCAAGGUUAACCGUAUAGGGGAGCCGCAGGGAAAUCGAGUCUUAAUAGGGCGUUUAGUUGCUGGGUAUAGACCCGAAACCCCGGCGAUCUCCAUGAGCAGGUUGAAGGUUUGGGUAACACUAACUGGAGGACCGAACCCACUGUCGUUGAAAAGCCAGCGGAUGACUUGUGGAUAGGGGUGAAAGGCUAAUCAAGCCUGGUGAUAGCUGGUUCUCCCCGAAAGCUAUUUAGGGUAGCGCCUCGUGAAUCAUCUUCAUAGGGGGUAGAGCACUGUUUCGGCUAGGGGUCAUCCCGACUUACCAACCGAUGCAAACUACGAAUACCGAAGAAUGUUAUCACGGGAGACAGACUGCGGGUGCUAACGUCCGUAGUCAAGAGGAAAACAAUCCAGACCGCCAGCUAAGGCCCCAAAAUCAUAGUUAAGUGGGAAACGAUGUGGGAAGGCACAGACAGCCAGGAGGUUGGCUUAGAAGCAGCAGCCAUCUUUAAAGAAAGCGUAAUAGCUCACUAGUCGAGUCGGCCUGCGCGGAAGAUGUAACGGGGCUAAAACCAUGCACCGAAGCUGCGGAGCGACACUAUGUGUUGUGGUAGGGGAGCGUUCUGUAAGCCGAUGAAGGUGUAUUGAGAGCAUGCUGGAGGUAUCGGAAGUGCGAAUGCAGACAUGAGUAGCGAUAAAGAGGGUGAGAUGCCCUCUCGCCGAAAGACCAAGGGUUCCUGCGCAAGGCUAAUCCGCGCAGGGUGAGCCGGCCCCUAAGACGAGCCCGAAGGGGGUAGUCGAUGGGAAAAUGGUUAAUAUCCAUUACUUGUGUUAUGCGAAGGGGGGACGGAGAAGGCUAAAUCAGCCUGGCGUUGGUUGUCCAGGUGAAAGGAUGUGUAGCAUGUAUUAUCCAGGCAAAUCGGGGUAUCUCUAUGCUGAUCUGAUGUGAUGACGAGCACUACUUGUACAGCGAAAGUUGAACAAAUGCAUGCUUCCAGGAAAAGUCUCUAAGCUUCAGUUACACAGGAAUCGUACCCGAAACCGACACAGGUGGUCAGGUAGAGUAUACCAAGGCGCUUGAGAGAAGUGUCCUGAAGGAACUCGGCAAAAUGGUACCGUAACUUCGGGAGAAGGCACGCUGGUGUGUAUGUGACUCGCCUGCCUGAGCUGAGCUGAGACCAGUCGAAGAUACCAGCGCUGCAACUGUUUAUUAAAAACACAGCACUCUGCAAACACGAAAGUGGACGUAUAUGUGUGUGUGACGCCUGCCCGGUGCUGGAAGGUUAAUUGAUGGGGUUAGCGUAAGCGAAGCUCUUGAUCGAAGCCCCAGUAAACGGCGGCCGUAACUAUAACGGUCCUAAGGUAGCGAAAUUCCUUGUCGGGUAAGUUCCGACCUGCACGAAUGGCGUAAUGAUGGCAGGCUGUCUCCACCAGCAGAGACUCAGUGAAAUCGAAACUCGCUGUGAAGAUGCAGUGUACCCGCGGCUAGACGGAAAGACCCCGUGAACCUUUACUGCAGCUUGACACUGAACAUUGAGCCUUACUUGUGUAGGAUAGGUGGGAGACUUUGAAGCUGGAACGCAGUCUCCAGUGGAGCCGUCCUUGAAAUACCACCCCUGGUAAUGUUUGAUGUUCUAACUCUGUCCCCUGAUCCGGACGUUGCGGACAGUGUCUGGUGGGUAGUUUGACUGGGGCGGUCUCUCUAAAGCGUAACGGAGGAGCACGAAGGUUAGCUAAUCCUGGUCGGACAUCAGGAGGUUAGUGCAAUGGCAUAAGCUAGCUUGACUGCGAGCACAAGUCGAGCAGGGUGCGAAAGCAGUCUCAUAGUGAUCCGGUGGUUCUGAAUGGAAGGCCAUCGCUCAACGGAUAAAAGGUACUCGGGGAUAACAGGCUGAUACCGCCCAAGAGUUCAUAUCGACGGCGGUGUUUGGCACCUCGAUGUCGGCUCAUCACAUCCUGGGGCUGAAGUAGGUCCCAAGGGUAUGGCUGUUCGCCAUUUAAAGUGGUACGCGAGCUGGGUUUAGAACGUCGUGAGACAGUUCGGUCCCUAUCUGCCGUGGGCGCUGGAGAAUUGAGGGGGGCUGCUCCUAGUAGAGAGAGGACCGGAGUGGACGCAUCACUGGUGUUCGGGUUGUCAUGCCAAUGGCACUGCCCGGUAGCUAAAUGCGGAAGAGAUAAGUGCUGAAAGCAUCUAAGCACGAAACUUGCCCCGAGAUGAGUUCUCCCUGAGACUUUAAGUCUCCUGAAGGAACGUUAAAGACGAUGACGUUGAUAGGCCGGGUGUGUAAGCGCAGCGAUGCGUUGAGCUAACCGGUACUAAUGAACCGUGAGGCUUAACCUUACAACGCCGAAG
Molecule: ribosomal RNA, 2967 nt
Filed under: Klebsiella pneumoniae
Lineage: Bacteria; Pseudomonadati; Pseudomonadota; Gammaproteobacteria; Enterobacterales; Enterobacteriaceae
Description: 23S ribosomal RNA
Rfam family: Bacterial large subunit ribosomal RNA
Source: RNAcentral